GACGAACGCUGGCGGCGUGCCUAACACAUGCAAGUCGAACGGAAAGGCCGUGCUUUUGUGCGGUGCUCGAGUGGCGAAGGGGGGAGUAACACGUUAGUAACCUGCCCUUGUCUUUGGGAUAACUUCAGGAAACUGGGGCUAAUACCGGAUAGGAUCUCCUGCUGCAUGGUGGGGGUUGGAAAGUUUCGGCGGUUGGGGAUGGACUCGCGGCUUAUGAGCUUGUUGGUGGGGUAGUGGCUUACCAAGGCCUGGACGGGUAGCCGACCUGGGAGGGUGAGCGGCCACACUACGACUGGGAUACGGCCCAGACUCGUACGGGAGGCAACGGUGGGGAAUAUUGCACAAUGGGAGGAAGCCUGAUGCGGCAACGCCGCGUGCGGGAUGACGGGCUUCGGGUAGUAAACCGCUUCCGCCUGAGACGAAGCGUGAGUGACGGUACUGGGUGAAGAAGCACCGGCUAACUACGUG
This 468-nucleotide ribosomal RNA is filed under the name uncultured bacterium. RNAcentral describes it as "partial 16S ribosomal RNA". It matches the Rfam family "Bacterial small subunit ribosomal RNA", at positions 28 to 507 of the family's 1533-position model. The record is from RNAcentral.